RNAcentral lists this ribosomal RNA (527 nucleotides) under uncultured Comamonadaceae bacterium. RNAcentral's name for it is "bacterial SSU rRNA". It matches the Rfam family "Bacterial small subunit ribosomal RNA", at positions 8 to 526 of the family's 1533-position model. Lineage: Bacteria; Pseudomonadati; Pseudomonadota; Betaproteobacteria; Burkholderiales; Comamonadaceae. The record is from RNAcentral.
AGAGUUUGAUCCUGGCUCAGAUUGAACGCUGGCGGCAUGCCUUACACAUGCAAGUCGAACGGUAGAGGGGCAACCCUUGAGAGUGGCGAACGGGUGAGUAAUGCAUCGGAACGUGCCCAGUCGUGGGGGAUAACGCAGCGAAAGCUGUGCUAAUACCGCAUGUGAUCUGUGGAUGAAAGCAGGGGACUUGGUAGCAAUACUGGGCCUUGUGCGAUUGGAGCGGCCGAUGUCAGAUUAGCUAGUUGGUAGGGUAAAAGCCUACCAAGGCGACGAUCUGUAGCUGGUCUGAGAGGACGACCAGCCACACUGGGACUGAGACACGGCCCAGACUCCCACGGGAGGCAGCAGUGGGGAAUUUUGGACAAUGGGCGCAAGCCUGAUCCAGCAAUGCCGCGUGCAGGACGAAGGCCUUCGGGUUGUAAACUGCUUUUGUACGGAGCGAAACGGUCUGGGUUAAUACCCUAGGCUAAUGACGGUACCGUAAGAAUAAGCACCGGCUAACUACGUGCCAGCCGCCGCGGUAAUAC